GACGAACGCUGGCGGCGCGCCUAACACAUGCAAGUCGAACGGAGCUGAGAGAAGCUUGCUUUUCUUAGCUUAGUGGCGAACGGGUGAGUAACGCGUGAGUAACCUGCCCUGGAGUGGGGGACAACAGUUGGAAACGACUGCUAAUACCGCAUAAGCCCACGAUCCGGCAUCGGAUUGAGGGAAAAGGAUUUAUUCGCUUCAGGAUGGACUCGCGUCCAAUUAGCUAGUUGGUGAGGUAACGGCCCACCAAGGCGACGAUUGGUAGCCGGGCUGAGAGGUUGGACGGCCACAUUGGGGCUGGGACACAGCCCAGACUCCUACGGGAGGCAGCAGUGGGGGAUAUUGCACAAUGGGGGAAACCCUGAUGCAGCGACGCCGCGUGGAGGAAGAAGGUUUUCGGAUUGUAAACUCCUGUCGUUAGGGACGAUAAUGACGGUACCUAACAAGAAAGCACCGGCUAACUACGUG
This 468-nucleotide ribosomal RNA is filed under the name uncultured bacterium. Its description in RNAcentral is "partial 16S ribosomal RNA". It matches the Rfam family "Bacterial small subunit ribosomal RNA", at positions 28 to 507 of the family's 1533-position model. The record is from RNAcentral.